This 73-nucleotide transfer RNA is filed under the name Cricetulus griseus (Chinese hamster). It matches the Rfam family "tRNA". Rfam says of the family: Transfer RNA (tRNA) molecules are approximately 80 nucleotides in length. The record is from Rfam by way of RNAcentral. Lineage: Eukaryota; Metazoa; Chordata; Mammalia; Rodentia; Cricetidae.
GGAGAGAUGGCUCAGCGGUUAAGAGCACUGGCUGUUCUUCCAGAGGACCUGGGAUCAAUUCCCAGCACCCUCA